This is a long non-coding RNA of Setaria italica (foxtail millet), 576 nucleotides long. RefSeq lists it as uncharacterized. The transcript is spliced from 3 exons. The record is from RefSeq and is a predicted model, not a curated record. NCBI's taxonomy places the organism in Eukaryota, Viridiplantae, Streptophyta, Magnoliopsida, Poales, Poaceae.
AUGGUGGUUGAGAAGCCAACUUUGGCAAGUAUUUGGUCUGCUAAAGGGGGUACUGGGCGCUUAUUUGUUUUAGGAGAGGUUGUUCACAUAUUCAGGCCACUUGUGUAUGUACUUCUGAUCAGAAAGUUUGGAAUCAGAUCAUGGACCCCAUGGUUAGUGUCGCUAGCUGUGGAACUGACAAGUCUUGGCAUCCAUUCACACGCGACUGAUCUAAAUCAUAGAGGAGGGAAAGUCCAUCAGCUCUCCUCGGCUGAGAGGGAUGAGGCAAGUUGAGUUCAGUUCACUAGCUAGUUCAAUUCUGUUUUCCUGUACGUUACUGUUGCUGAACUAGAUAUUCUUCUUUGGUUCGAGUCCAUCAGCUGAAAAGAGGAAGAUGAUGUGGGCAAGCGUCAUCUCCAGAAGGCCGAACAGGUGCUGAAUCCGGUGCCAUUGAUUGGUUUCCUUACAGGUAAACUUGUGACAGAUGAGAAGUAUAUAACAGUAAAGCCGAUGGAAUGCUAAGAACCGGCAGUGUAUUUAUAGUGCAUACUUAUUGGAACAGAAUGUCAAUAAUGCAUUUGUUCUUUAACUGUGAAA